RNAcentral lists this ribosomal RNA (253 nucleotides) under uncultured bacterium. RNAcentral describes it as "partial 16S ribosomal RNA". It matches the Rfam family "Bacterial small subunit ribosomal RNA", at positions 524 to 776 of the family's 1533-position model. The record is from RNAcentral.
UACGAAGGGUGCAAGCGUUACUCGGAAUUACUGGGCGUAAAGCGUGCGUAGGUGGUUUGUUAAGUCUGUUGUGAAAGCCCCCGGCUCAACUGGGGAGGGUCAUUCGAUACUGAUCAACUUGAAGGCAGGAGAGAGAAGUGGAAUUCCCGGUGUAGUGGUGAAAUGCGUAGAUAUCGGGAGGAACACCAGUGGCGAAGGCGACUUCUUGGCCUGUUCUUGACGCUGAGGCGCGAAAGCUGGGGGAGCAAACGGG